This 3518-nucleotide long non-coding RNA is filed under the name Equus asinus (donkey). Its description in RNAcentral is "lncRNA (ENSEASG00005028657.1)". Lineage: Eukaryota; Metazoa; Chordata; Mammalia; Perissodactyla; Equidae. The record is from RNAcentral.
AUUUCAGCUCCAGUAUUAUUUCCAUCGGUUCCCUCUUAUAAUUUCUCUUUGUUGAUAUCGCCUGUUUCUUUAUACAUGAUUGUUCUCUGGCUUCCUUUAGUUCUCUGCCCACGGUUUCCUUUAGCUGUUCAAGCAUAUUUAAGACAGUUCAUUUAAAGGCUUUGCCAUAGCAAGUCCAACGUCUGGGGUUCCUCAGGGAUGGUUUCUGUCAAUUUCUUUUUCCUGUGAAUGAGUCAUACUUUUCUUUUUCUUUGUAUGCCUUGUAAGGUUUGUUCUUAUUGCUUGUUAAGGGCUGCAGUCAUCCAUUUGUUUAGUGACAUUUCCAAACUCUUGUUGCAGACUGUAUUCCUUAUCAUGUGCAGUCACUGAGGUCUCUGUUCCAAUAUCUCAGUGGUCAGCCACUGACCUGACACACAUUUCCUUAAAUACUUGGAGCCAGAAAAACCCCAAAACUAGAAGCAACCUCUCCUGGUCUUUGCAGAUUGGGUCUAAACUGGGAACUCCUGCCGCUCUUAGCCAGGCCACCUAUAAGUCUGCCUUAGUCUUUAUUUCCUGCCUGCAUGGAGCACAGAGAUUAGCCAAAGAUGCAAGCCUAGGGUCCUCUCUGGUCUUUUCUGAGCACAUGUCCAGCCCUGGACACGUGUUGCAGUCUGGAUCCCCUGGUCUAUGAAGUAGCCCUUCAAGCCCCUAUUCCCCCAGUAUCUUCUUCCUCAGCCUCUUCCUUCCCAGGCUUUUUGGUCUGUCUGCUGUUCAUCCCUUCUGCCAUCCCCUACCCCACACAGCUGUGGGUGGUAUAUGUCUUUAAAUGCUUUCCACAGACACCACCUGGGAGGCUGCUGCAGUCUGAGAGGGCCAAAGCAAAGCUCAGCCUCUGCACCAGUCCUUCGGGGAACUGCCAGCCAAGUCAACAUGCACAACUGUUACUGAACCAAAGUGGGUUUGCUGCUUGGUGAGUUGAAAUCAAAGCCUGCACCAGAAGUAGUGGUCAUGCAAAAUAAGAUUUAUUUGCAGCAAAUAAAGACAACAGGAGGAAUCACUUCCAAAGUUGUGGCCCCUGAGCAAGGGAAAACAGGCCUCGGUGGGGUUCUGUCCUCACUGUGCACACUCUCCUUGGGGAACCCAGCCACGCCCAGAGCUGCCACCUCUCUGUUGAUGAAGCCCAGUGGUGAAUCUCCAACUUAGUCCUCUCUCCAGGGCCCCAGACAUGUGGACAACUGCCCAUGGGCUGCUCCACUCAGAAAUCCCACAGACCGCUCUAGGUGAAGCCGUGUAAGUAACUUCUGGUUAACAAGAUGGAAGAACGGCACGUCCUUACUCCCAUUCUUCUUGGUAUCUAGAUUAUGGAGGUGCUAGCCAGAGCCCAAGCGGCCAUCUUGGACCAUGAUGACUAUGAGGAUGGAGAAGCAGCAAAAUGGAAGGCGCUCUGUCUCCGAUGAUUGUGGGGCCACCAGCUUAGAAGUGCUCACCUCCUUACUUUGCCUCCGGGAGGGAAAACCAGCUUUUAUCUUGUUUAGCCCAUUGUUAUUUUGCGAUUCCUUCACAUGCUGCUAAACCAAAGCUUCCUUAAUACACAGAUCUUUUCAGCCCCGUUCUCCAUACACCAUGUGUUCCACCGGCCGUGCUAAACCACCUGCAGCCAUCUCUGCUUCCGUUCCUUUGCACGGCAUUUCUGCGAGGUGUUAUAAGGGUCUGUUCGCUUGUCUUCCUCACUGCCCGUGAACAUCUCUGCAGCAGAGGACCGUACCUUUCUUGGAUUCCUGCUUUGUGAUCAACUUCUUUAAGGCAAGAAAGGGAGGGAGAGGGAAUGGACAUUUACUGGGUCCCACUUAUGUGGGCUUUACAUUUUAUUUGCCUUUUAAUUGUUGGAGCAAGUCUGUAAGGGGCGCGGCAUUAUUGCUGCUCUUUCACAGACGAGGAAAGGGAGGUUCAGAAAGGCCAAGCUGUUUCCCAAGUGUGCGUGGAUAACGAGCGGCAGAACUAAAUGUGGAACUCCAGUCUGUCUGACCUGAUGCAGCAGCUCUCUCCACCCCACCUAGAAGGUGCCGUGUCAGUGCAUGGGCUGGGCUGUGGCUGAGUGACCUUUGAUGAAUUAAUUCCCCUCCUGGUUCUCCUUUGAGGUCGUCACUCUCAGCUGCUUUUCACAUGCUGGUUGCUAAGGGUGAGAGUUUGGUAGGAAUUUUUGAAGUUGGAAGGCCUUGCUUAUUGUGAAAAGGAGAUGAACAGAAGGAUAGAUGAACCCUAACAAUGUCAGGCCUUCUCCAUGGGCACCACGGAGUGAGCCUGGAGCCGUUUCUUUGCCACGGGCCAUGCAGAGCCACGUUCCAUGGCAUUCCAUGUCCAAAUAAUUUCACCAAUAGGCUUCUAGGACAGAGCCGGUCUGCCUGGCAUGAAACCCAGCCGUGGGCCGGGUGCCGGCAACAGAUCUGCAGGCAUUGCCGGUCAUGAAUGACACUGUGACACUGUGGACAGAAGGGCUGCUUGAAGGACACCCUGGAGCAGCUCUUACCUCGACAGGGCUUCGCCAGUACGUCUAGGAAUUGCCAGCAAUUGCCUGAAAGAGUCCGUUCAAUUCACCCAACAACAUGACGUUGCCGGCGUUUCUCUGCGCCGUAGCUGGGAUGGUCUCCUUGCCCCUUGGAGGAGGUCUGCAUUAUUUUAAGGAGCUCUUAGGUUGUCUGGUCUCACCUUUUCAAUAAUUUAAGCCAGCAAUUCUCAACUGUUUGGUUUCACUGUUCCUUUAAGCUAUUCAAACUGAGGACUCCAAAAAGCUUUUAUGUGGGUUACAUCUACCAAUAUUUACUGUAUUAGAAAUCAAAACCGAGAAAUUUUUUAAAAUAAUAAUUCAUUUAAAAGUAAUAACAACCAAUGACAUGUUAACAUAACAUUUUUAUGAAAAAGAACUAUUUUGCAAAAAAAAUUUAGUGAGAAAAGUGGCCUCGUUUUACAUUUGUGGGAGGCAGAAUAACGGCCCCCAAAGAUAUCCCCUGGAACCUGUGAAUAUGUUACUUUAAAGGGCAAAGGGGACUUUAAAGAUUGGGGUUGAGGACCUUGAGGUAGGGAGGUGGCCCGGGUUAUCCAGGCGGGCUCAAUCACGUGACUCCUUGAAGUGGAGAACUUCCCCAGCUGCGGUUGGAAGGAGGCAAGACUGCUAAAGAAGAGUCAGAGGGAGACGCGACGUCGCUGGCUUUGAUGAUGGAGGAAGGGGACCACGAGCCAAGGAAUGAGCGUGGCCUCCAGAAGCUGUCCAAGGCAAGGACACAGAUUCUUCACUAGCACCUCGAAAAAGGAGCAGAGUUUUGUGACACCUCGAUGUCAGCCCAAGGAGACCUGUGUUGGCUUCUGACGUCAGACCUCUAAGAUAAUAAGUGUGUGUUAGUUGUUAAGCCACUAAGUUUGUGGAAUAUUUUUAUAGCAGCUGUAGAGAACAAAUAGAACGUUUUUGCAAAUCUCUUUAAUAUCCAGCUUAAUAGAAGCAAGCUGGAUUCUCACGUGCUUCUGCAUUCAAUCUGUUGUGUUAU